CCUACGGGAGGCAGCAGUGGGGGAUAUUGGACAAUGGGGGAAACCCUGAUGCAGCGACGCCGCGUGUGGGAAGACGGUCCUCUGGAUUGUAAACCACUGUCCCCAGGGACGAAAAUGACGGUACCUGGGGAGGAAGCUCCGGCUAACUACGAGCCAGCAGCCGCGGUAAUACGUAGGGAGAGAGCGUUGUACGGAAUUACUGGGUGUAAAGGGAGCGUAGGCGGGGAUGCAAGUUGGGGGUCAAAACUACGGGCUCAACUGGUAGUCGCACUCGAAACUGCAGCUCUUGAGUGAAGUAGAGGCAGGCGGAAUUCCUAGUGUAGCGGUGAAAUGCGUAGAUAUUAGGAGGAACACCAGUGGCGAAGGCGGCCUGCUGGGCUUUUACUGACGCUGAGGCUCGAAAGCGUGGGGAGCAAACAGGAUUAGAUACCCUAGUAGUC
This 440-nucleotide ribosomal RNA is filed under the name uncultured bacterium. RNAcentral's name for it is "partial 16S ribosomal RNA". It matches the Rfam family "Bacterial small subunit ribosomal RNA", at positions 338 to 795 of the family's 1533-position model. The record is from RNAcentral.